UGUUGACCAUACAUUAUGAGGGAAAUAUUUAAUACUAUUUGGAGACUGAUAUAUUUUCCUCUUAUCUAGAGUAAAAUAAAUUAUAAGAAGUGAUGAAAACAACCAUUUAAUUAGACUUAAGGAACCAUGUUUACCAGAGAUGUUUCCCAAGAUGGACAACAGACUGACCAUGUUGAUUCAGAACUAAGUACUAAUAAAAAGGAGUUUAAUAAGAAGUCUAAUAGAAAUCAAAUUGUAUUUAUCAACUUUAAUUCUAUUUUAAUGCACGAGUCCUAACAGCCAAACGACUAAUAUGCUGACAUUUCUUAAUUCAUUUUUUCUGACUGUGCUCCCAAAAGGUGUGUGAAAAUGCAG
Molecule: long non-coding RNA, 354 nt
Filed under: Homo sapiens (human)
Lineage: Eukaryota; Metazoa; Chordata; Mammalia; Primates; Hominidae
Description: non-protein coding lnc-MDFIC2-2:5
Source: RNAcentral